AUGGGGGAGAUCGCGAACGUCAGGUCUUCCCAGUAUGAAAAUGUAAUAUUUUUCCAUCGACAGCCAUCAGUAUCAUUAAGCCCUGCACAACUACCGUGCUGUUUCCCAUUUAACAACAGAAAUAAAUGAUGCUCAACUGGGACCACUGGCUGAUGUGAUUUAUUUGUAGAAAACACAAUGCAAGGAGAGUACGAUAUACAUAUGUUACACUGGUGCCGUGACUCUUCGAGACCCGGCUUCAAGAAGUACUGCGGUUGCUGAUGCACGGCAGAGGCCUAGGUUUCGAUUUCUGCACAAGUGGAAUUCUCAGGGAGCUCCUGGUAGCAUGAGUGAGUGGGGGAAAUAUAAUAUACUGUUUAUUACUUAUAUGUGGUGAUGGUAUGAUUAUUUAGUGAUGUAAUUGUGCUGUUAAGCUAGUAACCUUCCGAAGCCAAUUAACGUGAGGGCGACGCCAUUUUCUACCACACGGUGGAGACAACUAUUUAUGAAGGCGUUUCUUGUUACUUUUCUGUGUUGAUUCUUGGUCUUGUUAGACAACUACUUCUGAACUUUUAUUUUGAGUGCAUUAUGUUCAAGCUGGUUUUAUAGAAGUGUUCAUAUUGAUUGUGAUAUUUUUUUUUACUGAAUAUUUACAUUUAAAAAUUUUUUUUUUUGUUAUUUUAAAAAUGGAAGGUUUUGGGAGAGGUAUGGGAGUUCUCAUGUUUAACCCUUCACCACCAGUGGGUAGGGGAGCAGCUAUUUCUCCAGUUACUUCCACACCUCUGGCCAGGCCAACUGCACAGGCAAGUGUGCGCUUUCCACAUGAUUUAGAGCUACCUCAACUCAGUGCAUUCAAACCAGUUUCACCUAGUCCUAGGAAGGAGGAUGUGUCUAUGGAUUUCCUGGCGGCAUUGUUAAACAGAUAGGUUACUCCAUAGGUGAAAAUAUUGCCUCUUGUUUGGAAUCAAAGGCUAUGGGAGAUGAGGUGGGACAGAAAGUUGAUUAUGUUGGUGGUACCAAGGCUGGGGCCAGCUCUAGUCCAAAUGUAGUGGUGAAAAAUUAUGUCAGGGAACCAGUGUAUUUCAGGGGGGAUGGUUCAGAGGAAUGCAUGAGUGGGAGGAGACAAUGUUAGUGUACAUGCAGAAGAAGGGCUAUGGUGGGCAGGAGAGGUCAGAUUAAGUUUUGGGUAAGCUGUCAGGGUGGGCACGUGACGUGGUAAGAGUAAGCCUACGCAGUAACCCAGUUGACUCAAGCCAGGGCCCUAGACCGGUUUUUGACAUUCUGAAGCAUCACUUUAGCGACACAAUCAACUCUGACAUGCCCCUAGCUGAUGUUUAUUCUACGUUGCCAAUGGAAGGGGAGACUCCAUUUGAUUACUGGAUCAGACUGAACAGGGCCAUAGAGGUGGCAGAGUACUGUUUGAAGAGGCAGAACAAGGAGCUAGACAAUCCAUCACGUGUUCUGACUGUCAUGUUCAUCAAGCACUGUCCGAACCCAGAGCUGUCAUUGAUAUUCAUGUGCAAACCAUUGCAUGAGUGGACAGCGGCGGAGGUUCAUGGCAGGCUGGAGGAGUACCAGAGGAAGUGCAGGGCUCCACGUCCCUUGCGGCUGGCCCCACUGGUCACCACACUGACGCAGGAAGUAAGUAGGCCAGUGUCGGCUGUUGCAAACUGCCCGGACCCCUUGCAGCAGCCCACAAAUGGCUCAUCCGAGGCAUUGGAUCGUGUGAUGGGCAUGCUUGAACGGGUCUUGGAGCAGAGGCUACAGCAACCUGUAGGCGGCUAUGAUAAUCCUUUCCAAAGAAGGGCCCGGAGAAGGGAGAACCCGUCUUUGCAAUGUAAAGUGUGUGGGGAUGCGAAUCACAGCACAAUGGAUCAUUGUUAUUCUAACCACCUAUGCUUCCUCUGUUAUGUAGCUGGGCACACACGUCUAGAAUGUCCUCGCACUUCAUUGGUAACUCCCGUCGCUCCAUCAAACAGCAACACAACACAGCAGCAGGAAAACUAGCUGGCCCGGGGUGGGGGGAAGUGCUGGGCCUUGUGAGGUGCCCAAAUCAGAUAGUGGUGUAGAUUUAAACUCAAUAUAUUCAAGUGUUUGUGAUGAAGUCAAGUCGAACGAAAAACUCAUUAUGCAAAAUACACAGAGAGUGCUCCACAACGAUGAACUCUUCUAUACUAGUGUGUUACUGGGGGAUGUUAUAGACGUGAGUGCAAUGAUUGACAGCGGUUCUAUGGCAUGCACAUUGAGCUCAACAAUGGUACAACGCCUUGAGAAAGCAGGUGUGCUCAAGAGUGGCUCCCUCAGUCCGAUUGAAGUGGUGUUGGUUGGCUGCGGGAGGUUGAAGACCAAGCCUGUAGGCGUGUGUGAAUUGAAUCUGUCUGUGUAUGGCAGCAGUGUCUCUGUCCCUGUUCUAGUAGUGGAUGACCAACGUGAUGAGCUUAUCCUAGGCAGCAACGUGAUAAAACACCUCAUCAGGGAGCUGAAGACGACUGGUGACUUCUGGGAGGAGAUGUUAUCAUCUGAACACAAUGGAGAUGACAAACUGUUCCGUCUGCUGGCUAAUGUAGAGAGAUGGAAAUGGGCCGAAGUGCCAGAAAGAGUGGGCACAGUAAGGCUGAAACGGGUGGUCACAUUGGAGCCUAUGCAGGAACAUUUAGUCUGGGGCCGGCUGUGGAUGCCUCAAAAUGUAUCCGCGGGCAGUGCUGACGUUAUUGAGCCUACGAGGGCACGCUCAAGACCAAAAAACAUUCUAGUGGGGAGAACAGUAUCGACAUUGUGGAGCGAUGGCUGGGUCCCUGUCAAAGUUAUCAAUCCCUCACCAAAGCCAGUAACAGUGAGACGCAAUGCCAAGAUAGCGGACGUUUUUCCUUGCAUGGCAUUAGAGGACUUUGACACUGACUAUAUAGGUGGGCCCACUGUUGAACUGGUCCCCCUGGUGCAGCAGGUACACAACAUGGAUGACAAUCCAGACUUUGACAAUGGUAGUGGAGAUAGCUUGACCGUUGACAGUGCCGUCAAACCGCACAGAGUGACAAGUGAGGUGUUGCACGAGUUAGGGCUAGGUGACAUUGACAUUGAGUCCACUCAGUUGUCGCAACAGUGUAAGGCCAGGCUAAUUCAGCUUAUAGCCCGCUACGAGUCUAUCUUCUCCCGGCACAAACUAGAAUGCGGGAAGGCUACUGGAUAUGUCCAUCGCAUCAGACUCAGUGACAUUAAGCCUUUUAGGCUACCUUACCGUAGGCUCUCCCCUAACCAUUAUGACAAGCUCAGGCAGGCCUUGGAUGAGAUGGAAGAGCGAGAGAUAAUCAGGAAAUCCAGCAGUGAGUAUGCCUCCCCGCUCGUGCUGGUAUGGAAGAAGUCUGGUGAUCUGAGACUGUGUACAGACUUCCGAUGGCUCAAUGCUCGCACCGUGAAGGAUGCUCACCCUCUACCUCACCAAGCUGAUGCUCUGGAGGCCCUGGGUGGCAAUGCCUUCUUCUCUACAAUGGAUUUGACCUCAGGCUACUACAAUGUGGAGGUCCAUGAAGACGACAAGAAGUUUACAGCUUUCACUUCUCCUUUUGGGUUAUAUGAAUAUAACCGCCUCCACAAGGACUAUGCAACAGCCCAUCAUGAGGAUGAUGUUGAGCAUUUUUGGGGAUCAACAUUUUUCUAGCCUUCUAUGCUACCUGGACGAUGUGCUGGUUUUUGCCCCGACUGAAGAACUUGGAUUGCAACGCUUGGAGUCAGUUUUUGAGCGUCUCAAAGCCCAUAAUCUGAAAUUGUCUCCAAAGAAAUGUCAUUUCAUGAAGAGGUCAGUGCGGUUCUUAGGGCAUGUCAUCAGUGAAGGUGUGGCCACAGACCCAGAAAAAGUGAAGGCUAUUGGAGGGAUGACAGAGAAGGAUCUCAUGGAGGAUAACACGGAUGUGCUCUCCCAGGGGAAGAUUCGGUCCUUUCUCGGAAUGAUAGUCUAUUACCAGAAGUUCAUUGAGGGGUGCUCCACCAUCGCUAAGCCGCUGCAUGGGCUGACAACUGGGACGAAGGCACCACGUCAUGGGAAAGGCAAGAGGAAAAGAGGAAUACAUAGGAAACUCGCAGCAGACUGGACUGGUGAGUGCAAACAGGCCUUUAGUCAGUUGAAACAAGCUCUCCUCGAUCAGGUCAUGCUAGCCCACCCUGAUUUUAGUAGACCUUUCUUGCUGUCUGUAGACGCAUCUAGUAAUGGAUUAGGUGCUGUCCUCUCCCAGGUGCCAGAGGAUGGGUCUGCAGCCAGACCCGUAGCAUUCGCUAGCAAAUCACUUACUCAUGCACAGUCAAAGUAUCCUGCCCAUAGGUUAGAGUGUUUUGCUUUACGCUGGGCCGUCUGUGAGAAGUUUAGUCAUUGGCUAAGGGGCAAGCCUUUUACUGUAUGGACAGACAACAACCCAUUAACGUACGUCCUGUCCAAGCCCAAAUUGGACGCCUGUGAACAGAGAUGGGUUGCUAAACUCGCUCCAUUUGAGUUUGACAUCAAGUACAUCCCCGGUCCCAAAAAUGUCAUUGCUGAUGCACUCAGUAGACAGCCAUUUGUGCAGCCGAGCGCUUUCCACCGCAUCACAAGGGUUCCAUACAAGGGCUUGCUGGAAGAAGCUGCGGGAGUACGUGCUGAGAAGGUGAAAAUGUGUUCCGCUGGUCGAACCACCCAUUCGACCUCGAAAGCUGCUCACCGUCAAUUGAGGCAGAUGCCUGUGAAAUUGUCAUGGACUGCCAAACUACCUCCUAUCCUUCUCCUGGUUCUCUGUCAAAGAAACCGGUGUCAGCAGUCCUGAGGUCGCAAGGGGAGGCUGGUCAACAGAACUGUGCGCUGCUACUGCCUCAGCUCACUCAGUCACUGGUGCCAUCUGAGAUGUCAGAUGUGAGAGUGCUAUCCCGUGACGACCUGAUAUCAAAGCAGCGCCAGAGUUGUCUUCUACGUGGACAGGGGCCGUAGACCUUCUAGGAGGGAACGUGGCCAGGAACCACUCGAGGCUCUGUGGAUUCUGAAGACCUGGUAGAAGCUCACUCUGAAAAUGGGUGUACUAUAUCGCGUUACCAAAAGUUUGCUGUCAAAGAAGAAGACGUACCAGUAUGUAGUACCCACCUCAAUGAGGGCGACAGUUUUGAAGGGUGUCCACGAUGACGCCGGUCAUCAGGGGCAACAGAGGACGUUGUUCUUGACGAGACAGAGGUUCUUCUGGCAUGGUCUGGAGUCGGAUGUGAGAGAGUAUGUCAAGACCUGCAAGCGGUGUGUGUUCAGUAAGGCCCCCGAGCCAGAGGCCAGAGCUCCACUGGAGAACAUCAUCACGACUGAGCCCCUCGAGUUGGUGUGUGUGGACCUCUGGUCUGCUGAAGACUCCAACAACAAGUCCUUGGAUGUUCUGGUCGUCACUGAUCAUUUUACUAAGAUGGCGUCACUGAUCAUUUUACUAAGAGAACAACCUCUAUAUUGUUACGGAGAAGAAUAGUGACAUCCACAUCUUCAAGAUGCAGAACAUGUCGACUGGCCUGGAGAAAACGGUCCACUGUAAUCAGAUAAUGCCUAUAAACUUCUUGCCUCUCCCUGACACUGCCUUGGAGACACCUAAUACGGGUGACCGUGAGGAUCCGAGUGAGGAGAUGGAGGACUCAUCCAUGAACGAUAUACCAGAAAUGGACAUUGGUGAGAGGACUAGUGUGUGGGUAUCAGAACAGACCUCGGGGGAAGCACAGCCGGAGCACUCUGAAAAAGAAACCCCAGAUGUGCUGGAAGAUGGGCCACUGGCGAGGGACCCUCAGAACUCACCACAUUCUGAGGGUGCCACUGGUGGCACAAGCAUGUCAGAGCUAACCUUUUGGAGAAGAAAUGUCCGAAACCUCUGAAGAAGAAAGGCAUUCUGAAGAUGCCGCUGGUAGCACAAGCUCCAGCAACAGUCACAGAACCCUUGACCUUGACUAUCCACCGACUGUGGACAGUGACCCCCCAGUGGUGGUUGUAGGUGAACAGGUUAAACGUAAUAACUCUGUUAGGCCUGUCAGGUCAGCGGCUGGUCGGGUUAGGAAACGCCCAGUGAGACUCAUAGAGACUAUGCAGACACAGAGGGUUUUCAUACAGAAUUCAUUAGAAUACCUGUGUGGGUGUAGGAUUAGAAUCCAAGUCUGUAGCCCUUCUUUUUUUUUUUUACGUUCAAGAGACCCCAUGGAGGUCAUGGGUCAGAGGUCAAGUAGACCAAGGUUUUUCUGUCUGAGGUUCUUAUUGUCACUGAGUGUACUGGACAUGUAACAGGCAUGUUUUCCUACAGGGUCUUUGAAUUCCCCUAAUUCUCUUUAGAGAAUAGUCUUUGCACUGGAAUAUUUGGUGACAUAUGUAUUGCAAGGUAUUGCAUACCUCAUUUUGUUUCUUUAUAGUAUGCAAGUGUAAUUCAGCAGGGGAGAAUGUAACAGGGUUGGUUAUGUUUCCACUUGCCUCUAAAGAAAUGUGUAUUUAAUGUUCAAGAAUUCUUAUUGGUUGGUUCAACUCUGAUGAAAAUAAGGUGUGUUGUGAUUGGCUCCGCUUGCAGAUAGGGGGAGAUCGCGAACGUCAGGUCUUCCCAGUAUGAAAAUGUGAUGUAAGGGGUAGGUCACGUUCUGAAUACUGUUUUAGAUUUUAGAUUUUACAAUGUGUACAAGUUUGCUGUACGUUACAGAUUUAUACAUGUGUGGGUAUAUGGUACCUGUUAGGGAUUGAGGGUCUUUCUGGGAUGUGCUUUGGCAUAUGAUUGCUGUAAAUAAGUGUGUUAGCUAGCAUACACCGAUGUAAUGGUCACAUAAACCCACUGCUAACACAGUUGUCUUCAUGCUACAGAUUUUGCCAUCGACAGCCAUCAAUAUCGUUAAGCCCUGCACAACUAACGUGCUGUUUCCCAUUUAACAACAGAAAUAAAUGAU
RNAcentral lists this long non-coding RNA (6879 nucleotides) under Salmo salar (Atlantic salmon). Its description in RNAcentral is "lncRNA (ENSSSAG00000098323.1)". The record is from RNAcentral. Lineage: Eukaryota; Metazoa; Chordata; Actinopteri; Salmoniformes; Salmonidae.